RNAcentral lists this ribosomal RNA (497 nucleotides) under uncultured bacterium. RNAcentral's name for it is "partial 16S ribosomal RNA". It matches the Rfam family "Bacterial small subunit ribosomal RNA", at positions 28 to 507 of the family's 1533-position model. The record is from RNAcentral.
GAUGAACGCUGGCGGCGUGCCUAAUACAUGCCAGUCGAGCGAACAGACGAGGAGCUUGCUCCUUUGAUGUUAGCGGCGGACGGGUGAGUAACACGUAGGUAACCUACCUAUAAGACUGGGAUAACUUCGGGAAACCGGAGCUAAUACCGGAUAAUAUUUCGAACCGCAUGGUUCGAUAGUGAAAGAUGGCUUUGCUAUCACUUAUAGAUGGACCUGCGCCGUAUUAGCUAGUUGGUAAGGUAACGGCUUACCAAGGCAACGAUACGUAGCCGACCUGAGAGGGUGAUCGGCCACACUGGAACUGAGACACGGUCCAGACUCCUACGGGAGGCAGCAGUAGGGAAUCUUCCGCAAUGGGCGAAAGCCUGACGGAGCAACGCCGCGUGAGUGAUGAAGGUCUUCGGAUCGUAAAACUCUGUUAUUAGGGAAGAACAAACGUGUAAGUAACUGUGCACGUCUUGACGGUACCUAAUCAGAAAGCCACGGCUAACUACGUG